CUUACGUAUUAGUUUUAACAUUCCGGAGGGGAAGAAAUUGAAUCAAAUGUCGCACGGCCGAAACCAGUGGGUUUCCUCUGUUUUUCUCGGCAGGAGCAGAACCUUUAUUAAAAUUUCAGUCAACCCCUUUAGCUUUUAAAUAUUAUGUUUCGGCCCAAUCAAUAAUCAUAAAUCGUAUUUAUUAGAACUGAUAAAAUUGUCAUAAUGCUUUGACUAGCUAGUAUUGAAUUAGUAUGAAGUUUACAAUGCAUAGAAAUAAGGAAUUAGAAAUAAUAAUAUUAUUAGUACAGCCACGACUAUAUUUUAUACCGCCACGACAAUUUAUGUUGGGUGAAUACUAUACCUUCAAGAUCUUCUUGACUCUUUGAUUACCAUUGUUUCACUUAAUUAAUUAAUACAGACCCACUUGCCGUUUCACUCUCCUCUCUCUCCACUGCAAUUGAAGAGGUGGCAAAUCUAAGGGUGAAAGGAUUUGCAUAUUCCGACGAAAUACUCAAAAACUUGACAAGAACGACUUUCUCAAGUCUAUCAACACUAGCGGAUGGAUCCCGCUGUGACCCCGAUAAUCAUUACUUCAAUAACAGUUGUUGGAAAAAUCAUUACUGAAGGUGUUGAAGCCUAUGUGACAGGUCCAUUAUAUAUUUCAAUUACUCUAGGUUUUAUUUUAUUUUUAGCAAAUUAUUCAAUCACGGAAAAGCAUCUUAUUUUUUAGUAUUAUAGCGAUUUCGUGGAUAAUUUUUCAAAAUUUUCUGUACUAAUUCAAUGAGUUAUUUAAAUGGUGUGAAACAAUUCAAAAAAUUUAUUAUCCAAGGUAUGACCCUAAAAUUUCAGGACAAUUAUUUUGGGGUGGGGAGAGUACGUAUAAUGUCACACUAAAAUUCACUAUGCCACACCAAAUGUAGUGUAUAAAAACAAGUAGGAUAUUGAGACUGGAAGAGGAAUGUGAAUGGUAAUUCCUAACUAAGCCCAACUAAACAUGGAAAUGGAAAACAAUCUAUUGCAACCUGCACAUUCUAUUCUUGUGUCUGUUCCAUUCUAAAGAACCAAAUGCACCAUCCAAAGAAUUAGCCUAAUCUACAAAUUCUUAACCAAAUACUUGUUGCUUUUUCUUGUGAUUUCAGCUGAAUAAGAACAUUCAUUGAUUAAAAUAGUCUGAAUAAUAACAUAAUGUUUCAAAACACGGAGAAAUCCCAUCAUACAAAAUAGAAAUCCAGCAAUAUCCAUACCCAGUGCAGUCUUGUUUCUCUUAGAAGAUUUGGUAUUAGAGAUCUACAAUGCUUUCACCUACGACCACAAUCCACUUACACAAACAAGACAAUGGAGAACAAUGAAAUCCACAUCGACAGCAUAGUAUAUACAAGUCAGCUUUAAGGGUUGGCAUGAUCACAGAAAACAUAUACAAAACGAACUUGAGAAGACAUAAAAAAACUACAUUCCGAAUCAAGUUUAGGUACCAGAAAUCCAAAACGUGUUUUCAUCUUUAUGCAGAAGCUCAUCAAUUUGCCAACACUUAGUCUUUUUCAAGAAGGUUGGAAUUUUACCAGUUGAAGCCGGAAUAAACACCUGCUACAUGCUUCUUGCAUCAACAAACAAAGGUGCAAUUGGGCAUGCAAACCCCCAACCUUGUUAGAGAGCUAUAUCAAGGAAACAUGAAAGAGUGUUAGUUCUAGGAAGCUCUCUAUCUUCCUCUAGGAAGGAUCAUAGGAGACUACUUGAAAAAGACAGGUUGACUUCUACUUGAUAAUAGCCACAGAAAGACAAAA
This is a long non-coding RNA of Rhododendron vialii, 1763 nucleotides long. RefSeq lists it as uncharacterized. Lineage: Eukaryota; Viridiplantae; Streptophyta; Magnoliopsida; Ericales; Ericaceae. The transcript has 2 exons. The record is from RefSeq and is a predicted model, not a curated record.